RNAcentral lists this ribosomal RNA (1221 nucleotides) under Nesidiocoris tenuis. Its description in RNAcentral is "16S ribosomal RNA". The stretch from base 804 to 1167 matches the Rfam family "Archaeal large subunit ribosomal RNA", at positions 2150 to 2716 of the family's 2987-position model. Lineage: Eukaryota; Metazoa; Arthropoda; Insecta; Hemiptera; Miridae. The record is from RNAcentral.
UUUUAUUUCAUUAUAAAAAUAAUUUAUUUUUUAUAAUUAUAAAAAAUAAUUUUUAUUCUAGUAUUUUUUAAAGAAAAAAAUACUUUUAUUCAUUUUAACUGUAAAGUUUUAUUAAAAAUAUAAUUUUAGAAUUAGAUAGUUAUUUUACCUUUUGUAUCAGGGUUUAUCAAUAUUUUUAAUCUAUCUUUAUUUUCCCGAAAAAUUGUGAUAUAUAUAAAUAUGUUUUUUUAUGUGACAAUAUAAUUUGUAAUAUUUAUAUAGAAGAUAUAUUCUUUUCAUACAAUAUAUAUCUGGUUAUCUUAGAGGUGUAUUCAAUACAUAAUUAAGUGUUUAUUUUUCUUUGAUUUAUACUUAAUUUUAAUAGAAUAGGGAUAAGCUUAUUUUAUAAUUUUAUAUAACUUAUUUAUAAUAAUUCUAAGUAGGGUUAGAAAUACCCAUCUUUCAUUUUGUUAAAAUAGAUUUUUAUUUUUUAUUUAUUUCUUUCUUAUUAAUUUUUAAUAAGAUAACUAUGUCAAAUUUUUUGACAUGGUUUAUUAUGAUAGAAUUAGUAUUUUGUUAAUUAGAUAAUAGUAACUCGGCAUAUAAUACUUUCACCUGUUUAACAAAAACAUGGUCUUAUGAGUUUUAUACAAGAUCAGGCCUGCCCAAUGAAAUAACUUAAUGGCUGCAGUAAUUUAACUGUACAAAGGUAGCAUAAUCAUUUGUCUCUUAAUUGGAGUCUGGAAUGAAUGGUUUGAUGAAAAGUAUACUUUCUUUUAUCUACAAAAAUAACUUAAUUUUUAAGUGAAAAAUCUUAACUAUUUUUAAAGGACGAGAAGACCCUAUAGAACUUUAUUUUAUAAGAAAUAUAAUAAUAUUUAGAUAUUUAUUUGAUUUUAUUUUCAUUAAAAUUUUGUUGGGGUGACAGAAAAAAAUUAAAAACUUUUUAUUUUUUUAGACAUAUAUUUAUGUAUUGAUCCAUUAUUAUAGAUAAUAAGAUUAAGUUACCUUAGGGAUAACAGCGUUAUUAUUUUGUAGAGUUCUUAUCGAUGAAAUAGUUUGCGACCUCGAUGUUGGAUUAAAAUUAGCAGUAGGGGUAGAUUAUUACUGUUUGAGUCUGUUCGACUUUUUUAUUUUUACAUGAUCUGAGUUCAGACCGGCGUGAGCCAGGUUGGUUUCUAUCCUUAAUUUAUUUUAUAAGAUUAUAGUACGAAAGGACCUGAUUUUAAUAAUAUAUUUAUU